RNAcentral lists this ribosomal RNA (451 nucleotides) under uncultured bacterium. RNAcentral describes it as "partial 16S ribosomal RNA". It matches the Rfam family "Bacterial small subunit ribosomal RNA", at positions 354 to 796 of the family's 1533-position model. The record is from RNAcentral.
GUGGGGAAUAUUGGACAAUGGGCGGAAGCCUGAUCCAGCCGUGCCGCGUGUGUGAAGAAGGCCUUUUGGUUGUAAAGCACUUUAAGCGAGGAGGAGGCUCCUUUAGUUAAUACCUAAAGAGAGUGGACGUUACUCGCAGAAUAAGCACCGGCUAACUCUGUGCCAGCAGCCGCGGUAAUACAGAGGGUGCGAGCGUUAAUCGGAUUUACUGGGCGUAAAGCGUGCGUAGGCGGCCAAUUAAGUCAAAUGUGAAAUCCCCGAGCUUAACUUGGGAAUUGCAUUCGAUACUGGUUGGCUAGAGUAUGGGAGAGGAUGGUAGAAUUCCAGGUGUAGCGGUGAAAUGCGUAGAGAUCUGGAGGAAUACCGAUGGCGAAGGCAGCCAUCUGGCCUAAUACUGACACUGAGGUGCGAAAGCAUGGGGAGCAAACAGGAUUAGAUACCCCAGUAGUCC